This 592-nucleotide ribosomal RNA is filed under the name Chaetomium globosum. RNAcentral describes it as "eukaryotic LSU rRNA". It matches the Rfam family "Eukaryotic large subunit ribosomal RNA", at positions 32 to 647 of the family's 3401-position model. The record is from RNAcentral. Lineage: Eukaryota; Fungi; Ascomycota; Sordariomycetes; Sordariales; Chaetomiaceae.
AGUCACGACGCAUAUCAAUAAGCGGAGGAAAAGAAACCAACAGGGAUUGCCCUAGUAACGGCGAGUGAAGCGGCAACAGCUCAAAUUUGAAAUCUGGCUUCGGCCCGAGUUGUAAUUUGCAGAGGAAGCUUUAGGCGCGGCACUUUCUGAGUCCCCUGGAACGGGGCGCCAUAGAGGGUGAGAGCCCCGUAUAGUUAGAUGCCUAGCCUGUGUAAAGCUCCUUCGACGAGUCGAGUAGUUUGGGAAUGCUGCUCAAAAUGGGAGGUAAAUUUCUUCUAAAGCUAAAUACCGGCCAGAGACCGAUAGCGCACAAGUAGAGUGAUCGAAAGAUGAAAAGCACUUUGAAAAGAGGGUUAAAUAGCACGUGAAAUUGUUGAAAGGGAAGCGCUUGUGACCAGACUUGCGCCGGGCAGAUCAUCCGGUGUUCUCACCGGUGCACUCUGCCCGGCUCAGGCCAGCAUCGGUUCUCGCGGGGGGAUAAAGGCCCUGGGAACGUAGCUCCUCCGGGAGUGUUAUAGCCCGGGGCGUAAUGCCCUCGCGGGGACCGAGGUUCGCGCAUCUGCAAGGAUGCUGGCGUAAUGGUCAUCAGCGA